RNAcentral lists this ribosomal RNA (541 nucleotides) under uncultured bacterium. Its description in RNAcentral is "bacterial SSU rRNA". It matches the Rfam family "Bacterial small subunit ribosomal RNA", at positions 356 to 896 of the family's 1533-position model. The record is from RNAcentral.
GGGGAAUAUUGCACAAUGGGCGAAAGCCUGAUGCAGCGACGCCGCGUGAGGGAUGGAGGCCUUCGGGUUGUAAACCUCUUUCGCUCAUGGUCAAGCCGCAACACUGGUUGUGGUGAGGGUAGUGGGUAAAGAAGCGCCGGCUAACUACGUGCCAGCAGCCGCGGUAAUACGUAGGGCGCGAGCGUUGUCCGGAAUUAUUGGGCGUAAAGGGCUUGUAGGCGGUUGGUCGCGUCUGCCGUGAAAUCCUCUGGCUUAACUGGGGGCGUGCGGUGGGUACGGGCUGACUUGAGUGCGGUAGGGGAGACUGGAACUCCUGGUGUAGCGGCGGAAUGCGCAGAUAUCAGGAAGAACACCGGUGGCGAAGGCGGGUCUCUGGGCCGUUACUGACGCUGAGGAGCGAAAGCGUGGGGAGCGAACAGGAUUAGAUACCCUGGUAGUCCACGCUGUAAACGUUGGGCACUAGGUGUGGGGGCCACCCGUGGUUUCUGCGCCGUAGCUAACGCUUUAAGUGCCCCGCCUGGGGAGUACGGCCGCAAGGCUA